Molecule: non-coding RNA, 147 nt
Filed under: Chlorocebus sabaeus (green monkey)
Lineage: Eukaryota; Metazoa; Chordata; Mammalia; Primates; Cercopithecidae
Source: Rfam by way of RNAcentral
GUCAGGUGUGGUGGUGCAUGCCUGUAGUCCCAGCUACUUAGGAGGCUGAGGUAGGAGGAUUGCUCGAGCCUGGGAGGUUUAGGCUGCAGUAAGCUGUGAUCUGCCACUGCACUCCAGCCUGGGCAACAGAACAAGACCCUGUUUCAG